RNAcentral lists this ribosomal RNA (441 nucleotides) under uncultured bacterium. Its description in RNAcentral is "partial 16S ribosomal RNA". It matches the Rfam family "Bacterial small subunit ribosomal RNA", at positions 338 to 795 of the family's 1533-position model. The record is from RNAcentral.
UCUACGGGAGGCAGCAGUGGGGAAUAUUGCACAAUGGGGGAAACCCUGAUGCAGCGACGCCGCGUGAGUGAAGAAGUAUUUCGGUAUGUAAAGCUCUAUCAGCAGGAACGAGACAAGACGGUACCUGACUAAGAAGCCCCGGCUAACUACGUGCCAGCAGCCGCGGUAAUACGUAGGGGGCAAGCGUUAUCCGGAAUCACUGGGUGUAAAGGGAGCGUAGACGGCUGAGCAAGCCUGAAGUGAAAGGUGGGGGCCCAACCCCCGGACUGCUUUGGGAACUGUACGGCUGGAGUGCAGGAGAGGUAAGUGGAAUUCCUAGUGUAGCGGUGAAAUGCGUAGAUAUUAGGAGGAACACCAGUGGCGAAGGCGGCUUACUGGACUGUAACUGACGUUGAGGCUCGAAAGCGUGGGGAGCAAACAGGAUUAGAUACCCGUGUAGUC